This 253-nucleotide ribosomal RNA is filed under the name uncultured bacterium. Its description in RNAcentral is "partial 16S ribosomal RNA". It matches the Rfam family "Bacterial small subunit ribosomal RNA", at positions 524 to 776 of the family's 1533-position model. The record is from RNAcentral.
UACGUAGGGGGCAAGCGUUGUCCGGAUUUAUUGGGCGUAAAGCGCACGUAGGCGGCUUUGCAAGUCAGAGGUGAAAGCCCGGGGCUCAACCCCGGAAUUGCCUUUGAGACUGCAUCGCUAGAAUUGUGGAGAGGUAAGUGGAAUUCCGAGUGUAGAGGUGAAAUUCGUAGAUAUUCGGAAGAACACCAGUGGCGAAGGCGACUUACUGGACACAUAUUGACGCUGAGGUGCGAAAGCGUGGGGAGCAAACAGG